This 601-nucleotide ribosomal RNA is filed under the name uncultured Methanosarcinales archaeon. Its description in RNAcentral is "bacterial SSU rRNA". It matches the Rfam family "Archaeal small subunit ribosomal RNA", at positions 440 to 1040 of the family's 1478-position model. The record is from RNAcentral. Lineage: Archaea; Methanobacteriati; Methanobacteriota; Methanomicrobia; Methanosarcinales.
GGCCGGGCAAGACCGGUGCCAGCCGCCGCGGUAACACCGGCGGCCCGAGUGGUGAUCGUGAUUAUUGGGUCUAAAGGGUCCGUAGCCUGUUUGGUCAGUCCUCCGGGAAAUCUGACGGCUUAACCGUUAGGCUUUCGGGGGAUACUGCCAGGCUUGGAACCGGGAGAGGUAAGAGGUACUACAGGGGUAGGAGUGAAAUCUUGUAAUCCCUGUGGGACCACCUGUGGCGAAGGCGUCUUACCAGAACGGGUUCGACGGUGAGGGACGAAAGCUGGGGGCACGAACCGGAUUAGAUACCCGGGUAGUCCCAGCCGUAAACGAUGCUCGCUAGGUGUCAGGCAUGGCGCGACCGUGUCUGGUGCCGCAGGGAAGCCGUGAAGCGAGCCACCUGGGAAGUACGGCCGCAAGGCUGAAACUUAAAGGAAUUGGCGGGGGAGCACAACAACGGGUGGAGCCUGCGGUUUAAUUGGACUCAACGCCGGACAACUCACCGGGGGCGACAGCAAUAUGUAGGCCAAGCUGAAGACUUUGCCUGAAUCGCUGAGAGGAGGUGCAUGGCCGUCGCCAGUUCGUACUGUGAAGCAUAAUCACUAGUGAAUUC